UAGCCGUAAACGAUACUCGCUAGGUGUCGGCCACGGUGCGACCGUUGUCGGUGCCGUAGGGAAGCCGCGAAGCGAGCCACCUGGGAAGUACGGCCGCAAGGCUGAAACUUAAAGGAAUUGGCGGGGGAGCACAACAACGGGUGGAGCUUGCGGUUUAAUUGGAUUCAACGCCGGAAAUCUUACCGGGACCGACAGCAACAUGAAGGCCAAGCUGAAGACUUUGCCGGAUUAGCUGAGAGGAGGUGCAUGGCGUAGUCGUGU
Molecule: ribosomal RNA, 261 nt
Filed under: uncultured archaeon
Lineage: Archaea
Description: partial 16S ribosomal RNA
Rfam family: Archaeal small subunit ribosomal RNA
Source: RNAcentral